AUGCAUAUUAUGCAUUUGAUAUUUUCCGCACUAGCCUAUGGCAUUGAAAAUUACAAGUGCUGUGUGAUGCUUACCCCUCCUUUAUUGCUAUUUUCGCCUACCUUAUGACAUCCUCUUCCCGAUUUCCUUCUCUUUUUGGCGGUUGGCAAUUGCGAUUUAAGGCCACGUAUUUUCUUGUCUUAAAUUUUCAUUCAAAACGUUAUGAUGGUAAAAAUAAAAGAAGGAUGUGUCCUUUAAUGCCAUUGCAAUGUCAAACUCUAACUGGAAUCGUAGGAUUGACAAUAAUUGUCAUAAAUAAACAAUAAGGAUCCUACAUAAGAUUGUCGUUGCUUUUUCAACGGGUAACUGAUUGGAUGAUAGAAUGACAAGGGACAUUGCUUAAUGCUUAUACGGGUAAAUACAAAUCUAAAUAUUGAAAUCUAAUUGUAAAUUGAACUCGGCGAUUAAUAUUUGCGCUCUCGUUUCGUAUAACUCUUAGCCAAUGCAUAAACCCAUUAGUGUCGACAUCGGCCGCAAGGUGAUAUGGAGGAUUCUUGCAUGUCAUUAACGGUGUUGAUGCGUGAUGCCACACCCUAAAUCGAAAACCCACGAUAGCGAUGGAAAUGCUGCAUGAGAGGAUCUUCGCUACACCACACAGUGCAAUAGAGGCGGGGAAAGAAACUGGAAAUUCGAAAAUGUUCAACUUCAAGAUGCCUUUGGGCUAAAGCGAUGAAUCAGGGUGACGGUAGGUAUUAUAAAAAUGAACGUGUGAAGUGGAAGUAAACCAGUUACGUUGGUGCCUUCAAACUGACUCCAUCGUCGGCAACAUAUUGCAUCGGCAACAUAUUGCAUAUUCGGCUGUCAAUCAUGCGGGACUACGAUGUCAUGCUGCUGUUUGCUUUUGCCAUUUUGAUGGCUACAUCGGCGGGUACCGAUGGGUUUGUCCUCAUCUGGACACUAGACUAUACAACCCCUACGCCCUACUACACCACCUCGUAUGCUGCUCCCUCUUACAGCACCAAGGCUCUCGAAUAUUAUACCACAUAUGCAGCUGCCAGCUACUACACCGAGUCUUCCAACUACUUAAUACACGACCAGAACGCCCAAAUACUACACGACCAUAUACUCCGCUCCAACAUACUACACUCAAGCCAUUAAAUACUAUGCUGCUCAAAGGGGGAAAAUAUAACUUUUUGUUCGAAACUGUGGCUAUUGAAAUAAUGCAGGGAAACUUAUGAAGACAAAACCAAAAUCAUGUCUUGAGUUAUUUGAGGUAAAAAUUUGGUUGUGGGACAGCAUGCCAUUCCUGAAUGAUUAUUUCUACAGAUUCACUUGAACUUAACACCAGAGAAGGACCUGCCUUUGAUCAGAAACAGAACUGGUGAUAUCCAAAGCAAAAUAAACUGUGAACUUUUACUAUUAAAAAUGGAGAAGUUGUGCAAUGUAGGACCACACUCAAGACACAAUUAAAAAGGAGUGCCGGAAAUUGCCCGAUUGUGUUAUCAACGUAGUUUGGUGCCUAAAUUCACGGUAUAUAAGAGUUGAGUGCAUUUCUAUGUGUAGCGGCACUUGAAAUGACUGGGUGACGGGCUCUCCCACUGUUGGGACUGCUAUAGUAACCAAGAGUCUGUAAGCAAUUACAACUCGAAAGGUGAAGCGUUGGAAUG
This is a long non-coding RNA of Daphnia magna, 1646 nucleotides long. RefSeq lists it as uncharacterized. The transcript has 4 exons. The record is from RefSeq and is a predicted model, not a curated record. NCBI's taxonomy places the organism in Eukaryota, Metazoa, Arthropoda, Branchiopoda, Diplostraca, Daphniidae.